GCCUAAUUCUCGGAACCCCACUCAUAGCGAGGAAGCAUUUAUUAAGAUGCAUAUUUAAGAAUCCAUCUAGAGCACAGGCUAGGGUGAUCUUCAGUUUAAUGUGGCUGAAACAGUCUAGAAUACUUUGAGUUGCCAAGUCCACUUUUUGAAACAAGGUAGAUUCUUAGGUUUGCUGUGUUAAUAGGGAGGAGACCCUCUCUAAUAAUAUUAGUUGGGUUAAGCCAAGUGUGUAGGUGGGCUUUUUGUGUUUAUAAUCUGUGGGUGUAAGGGCUUUACACAAAGGGUAAGGAUCUGACUUAGAGAAGGGAUCCUGUAAGUCUAGUCCAUUUUGAUUCUUGACAUUGGUGAAUAGAAGAGUGUUCACGUUGCAGAGAGCUUGAACUGUGAGGAAAUCUGGUGGCUUCAUGGAGGUGCUGUUCUUACUAGGACUCUGAAGGUUGAGUAAAGAAUUGGGCACAUAAGACUUUUGUCUUAUGCUGGCGGGGGCACCUUUUUAUCAGCGGUUUCAGAAGCGCUGAAGGAACCCCAUCCUAAAGUCUGGGUUCCUGACUGAAUGAGGUUUCCCGUAUUGCUACUGCCUGAGCUUUGCAAAUUGGGCUUUGCUCCUCCUCCAGUCAUAAUCCCCCGAGGCUCUGGGUCUUGCCCUAGUCGCCAGGACCGGCGGCCUGAUGGCGAGACAGUGACUCCCCUGGCGCUGAAAAAUCUUAGCAGGUGGCGGGGCUGGUCCAUCAACUGUCCAUUAAGUCGAGGCUUGGCCCUCUGAGGGCUGGAAGGGGCAACCUUGCCUUACCCAUGGGGUCAACUUGGUGAAAAGGUGGGAUCUGUCCCGCCAGCUUAUCUCUGAGCUUCCCUUUCUCCCUCGGACCCUAAAGAACUCAGCUUUCCCCGAUUCCCGCCACCAUUACGGUCUCCCCCAACCCCAACCUCCGCCCCCUCCUCCCCAGUCACUUCUGAGCCCAAACCGUUCCUUGCUUCUCCAGUCGGAGUUUCCCGCGCUUUUGAGGGUGCUCUCAGCUGGUCCCUCUCCAGCCCUACUCCUACCGCGUGUUCUGCGGUUUCCUUUCAUUUUAUUAUCACUCUGGAAACCUGACGAUUAAGACGCGAAGCCAACAAAGAGUUUUCUUUCCACCUUAACCUUGCACACAAUCCUUUAACAAAUUAAUUAAUCCUAAUGAAUUAACACUUCAUUUAUUUAAACGCGCUACAGUCCA
RNAcentral lists this long non-coding RNA (1211 nucleotides) under Marmota monax (woodchuck). Lineage: Eukaryota; Metazoa; Chordata; Mammalia; Rodentia; Sciuridae. The record is from RNAcentral.